Molecule: ribosomal RNA, 465 nt
Filed under: uncultured Klebsiella sp.
Lineage: Bacteria; Pseudomonadati; Pseudomonadota; Gammaproteobacteria; Enterobacterales; Enterobacteriaceae
Description: bacterial SSU rRNA
Rfam family: Bacterial small subunit ribosomal RNA
Source: RNAcentral
CCUACGGGCGGCUGCAGUGGGGAAUAUUGCACAAUAGGCGCAAGCCUGAUGCAGCCAUGCCGCGUGUGUGAAGAAGGCCUUCGGGUUGUAAAGCACUUUCAGCGGGGAGGAAGGCGUUAAGGUUAAUAACCUUGGCGAUUGACGUUACCCGCAGAAGAAGCACCGGCUAACUCCGUGCCAGCAGCCGCGGUAAUACGGAGGGUGCAAGCGUUAAUCGGAAUUACUGGGCGUAAAGCGCACGCAGGCGGUCUGUCAAGUCGGAUGUGAAAUCCCCGGGCUCAACCUGGGAACUGCAUUCGAAACUGGCAGGCUAGAGUCUUGUAGAGGGGGGUAGAAUUCCAGGUGUAGCGGUGAAAUGCGUAGAGAUCUGGAGGAAUACCGGUGGCGAAGGCGGCCCCCUGGACAAAGACUGACGCUCAGGUGCGAAAGCGUGGGGAGCAAACAGGAUUAGAUACCCUUGUAGUC